NNNNNNNNNNNNNNNNNNNNNNNNNNNNNNNNNNNNNNNCGUGGCCUCGCUGCAGCGGGUGUGCGUGUGCGCGCUCACGCAUGUACGGCCUCACUGCAACGUGGGUGUGCAUGCACGUUCCCAUGUACGGCCUCAGUGCAGGGCGGGGGGUGCGUGUGUGUGUGUGCGCGCGUGCGUGCGCGCAUGUACGGCCUCACUGCAGUGUGUGUAUGCACAUUGCCAUAUACAGCCUCAGUGCAGAGUGUGUGUGCACACAUGUACAGCCUCACUGCAGUGUGUGUGCGCACAUACAGCUUCAGUGCAGUGUGUGUGCAUGCACGUUCCCAUGUACAGCCUCAGUGCAGCGUGUGUGUGUGUGCGCGCACACAUGUGGAUACGUACGGCGUCAGUGCAGAGCUGAUGCACAGUCCUGCUGCAGAGUGUGUGUGUGUUUGUGUACACACAAGUACAGCAUCACUGCAGCGUGUGUGUGUGCGCACACGCGCAUGUGCACAUGUAAAGCGUCAGCGCAGAGCCGAUGCACAGCCCCACUGCAGAGAGUGUGUGUGUGUACACACACAAGUACAGCAUCACUGCAGUGUGUGUGUGUGCACACGCGCACGUGGACACGUACAGCAUCAGCACAGAGCCGGCGCACAGCCCCGAGUACAGCAUCACUGCAGCGUGUGUGUGUGCGCACACGCGCAUGUGCACAUGUAAAGCGUCAGCGCAGAGCCGAUGCACAGCCCCACUGCAGAGAGUGUGUGUGUGUACACACACAAGUACAGCAUCACUGCAGUGUGUGUGUGUGCACACGCGCACGUGGACACGUACAGCAUCAGCACAGAGCCGGCGCACAGCCCCGCUGCAGUGUGUGUGUGUGUGUGUGUACACACACAAGUACAGCAUCACUGCAGUGUGUGUGUGUGCACACGCGCACGUGGACACGUACAGCAUCAGCACAGAGCCGGCGCACAGCCCCGCUGCAGUGUGUGUGUGUGUGUGUGUGUACACACACAAGUGUUGAUCUCAAGC
This 1014-nucleotide long non-coding RNA is filed under the name Struthio camelus australis. RNAcentral's name for it is "lncRNA (ENSSCUG00000006935.1)". Lineage: Eukaryota; Metazoa; Chordata; Aves; Struthioniformes; Struthionidae. The record is from RNAcentral.